CCUACGGGGGGCAGCAGUGGGGAAUUUUGGACAAUGGGCGAAAGCCUGAUCCAGCAAUGCCGCGUGCAGGACGAAGGCCUUCGGGUUGUAAACUGCUUUUGUACGGAACGAAACGGUCUACCCUAAUACGGUGGGCUAAUGACGGUACCGUAAGAAUAAGCACCGGCUAACUACGUGCCAGCAGCCGCGGUAAUACGUAGGGUGCGAGCGUUAAUCGGAAUUACUGGGCGUAAAGCGUGCGCAGGCGGUUAUGUAAGACAGAUGUGAAAUCCCCGGGCUCAACCUGGGACCUGCAUUUGUGACUGCAUAGCUAGAGUACGGUAGAGGGGGAUGGAAUUCCGCGUGUAGCAGUGAAAUGCGUAGAUAUGCGGAGGAACACCGAUGGCGAAGGCAAUCCCCUGGACCUGUACUGACGCUCAUGCACGAAAGCGUGGGGAGCAAACAGGAUUAGAUACCCGGGUAGUC
This 465-nucleotide ribosomal RNA is filed under the name uncultured bacterium. RNAcentral describes it as "bacterial SSU rRNA". It matches the Rfam family "Bacterial small subunit ribosomal RNA", at positions 338 to 795 of the family's 1533-position model. The record is from RNAcentral.